Molecule: long non-coding RNA, 2136 nt
Organism: Sorex araneus (European shrew)
Lineage: Eukaryota; Metazoa; Chordata; Mammalia; Eulipotyphla; Soricidae
Exons: 6
Source: RefSeq, a predicted model, not a curated record
CACUGGGGCGGUUGGGCGCAGGAGCGGCCCGGGGCUGCAGGGGAGGGCGUUUGGAGCGGCCCAGGAAAAAAAAAAAAAAAAGGCUUCCGAGGCGCCUCCGCGUGAUUGAUGUAUAAUUAAGAGCAUGAUAAGCCCCUAAAUGAUGACUUCAAAGGCCUGAGCAGUCUGCAGCUUGAAGGCACCCUAAGGUUCUGCCUAUCUUCCUCUUGGAUCGUCUCCCUGCAGCUACCAAAAACCACUGAAAGGCUCUUCAUUCAGGGAUCACCACUGGCAAAUUUGUGGGAAGAUAUGGGAUGCUGGGGAUCAAACCUUCGUCAGCAUGUGCAAGGACAAAAUCAGUCACUUUUCUCUGGAAAACGACAGUCACUGGAGGGAUUCUGACAAAUUGCUUUAGAAACUUCUGAUGUAAUGAUGAUGCUGGGGAGUGAUUAGAAGUGAGACAUAAAAAGCAGAGAGUCACAUGAAGAAGAAAAUAGAAGAUCCAAAUGUCAGUGCCCCGUCAUGGAGUUAGGGAAUCAUUUGAGAGAACAAAGUGAAUGAAAACUCAGAAAUGAGCUCAUCAGAAAGGACAUUGUAGAUACAAGAAACCACGGGAAAAUCAGCGCCAACGAAACAUGAAUAUGUUGAACUUGGAGGUGCUCUGCACAGUGAGCUUCCUCAGGAGCUGCAUUUGUGACCCAUACUGAAAUGAAUGAAUCCCUGUUGAGCUAAAUCAAAAUAUAUUUAAGAAAUAAUGUCCGUGGCAGUGGAGUCGAAAGCGUAAUGAAGUGCUUUUGCGGAUGAUUAAACAUCCCAGUGAAGCCCAGGACCCGUGGAUAACCGCAGACAUAAUGAGUGUGAGUAUCUGCUAAUGCCAAGCGCAUUAUUAUUAAUUCGUGACAAGGAAGAGUCAACAGACCACAAGAGGAGAGGGGGGGAGACGGUGGGCUUCAACCUCUAUUACUGCAGCGAUGGGUUGUGGAAUGCACAGACAUAGGCACGCGCACGAAGCUCCCCGCAGCUGACCCGUUGGGAAGGACACCUGCAGCCCCGUGUGACAGCUCUGUGCUGUCUGCCCUUGAUGAAUCACUUCGUCAUCAGUGCCCGGGGUUUAUUCAGAAGAUGCAACCUCCCCUCAGUAUAGUCGGACAGUCGGGUAAGAAGGAGCGAGCAUCAAAAAUCAUCUUGGAAAGGCCAGUAGGGAAAGACUCACACCCAAAAUACGCGUGAAAAGCCAGAGAGGAUCAACCCAUGGAAGAGGAGUGGAAAGAAGAGGAGGAAGAAAGAGCCAAAAUUUAGGGAGAAGAAAAUGAAAGGAGGUGAUGUUACUGGUAAAACCCGAGCUCAAUAAUAAGGACAACUCUCAGGAAGAAUUUCUGGAGUGUUUACUGCAUGCCUGGGAUGUAAUGGAAGGAUGAGGCCCAGGAGCCCCUGUACCACAUCUACUCUUGAAUGGGGGAGGGAAAUAAGUCUGUGACCCCCUGAAAGUUUUGCUGGGAGCUCUAUUCAGUCAACAGUUGUUGGUCUCUGUUAAGCCAAGGUCCACCUUGGAGCGUGCAAACAAAAUUAAUUCAGAAGAGACCAGGUGCUUCACCACUUCCUUCUGUUAACCACUAUUUUAUUUGAAUACUCUAGGAACUUUGGUGUUUGUUUUGUUACUUUUGUACCUGGGGGUGGGAUGGGAUUUGAGCUACAUCUGGUCGCUCAAGGCUUACUCCUGGCUCAGCACUCAGGGAUCCUCUUGAUGCUUGGGGUUAGAUAUCACUGUCACUGUAUCACUGUCAUCCCAUUGCUCAUCGAUUUGUUUGAGUGGGUACCAGUAACGUCUCUCACUGAGGGACUUAUUGUUUUUGGCAUAUCCAAUACGCCAUGGGUAGCUUGCCAGGCUCUGCCGUGCGGGCUCCAUACUGUUGGUAGCUUGCCAGGCUCUCUGAGAGGGGUGGAGGAAUCGAACACAGGUCAGCCACGUGAAAGGCGAACGCCCUACCGCUGUGCUAUCGCUCCAGCCCGGGGUUAGAUAUAAGAUAAUAAAUUGUUAUUACUAGAAAUAGAGAUGAUUAUUAGAAUAUGUCAUUCAGGAAUGACCGGCAAAUUCUGUGGUAAUGCAACUGACUGACUUGGGUGAUGUAUUUAGCGGUGUCAGGUUACCAGUGGAUG